This 758-nucleotide ribosomal RNA is filed under the name uncultured bacterium. RNAcentral describes it as "bacterial SSU rRNA". It matches the Rfam family "Bacterial small subunit ribosomal RNA", at positions 737 to 1501 of the family's 1533-position model. The record is from RNAcentral.
GUACUGACGCUCAUGCACGAAGCGUGGGGAGCAAACAGGAUUAGAUACCUGGUAGCCACGCCCUAAACGAUGUCAACUGGUUGUUGGUCUUCACUGACUCAGUAACGAAGCUAACGCGUGAAGUUGACCGCUGGGGAGUACGGCCGCAAGGUUGCAACUCAAAGGAAUUGACGGGGACCCGCACAAGCGGUGGAUGAUGUGGUUUAAUUCGAUGCAACGCGAAAAACCUUACCCACCUUUGACAUGUACGGAAUCCUUUAGAGAUAGAGGAGUGCUCGAAAGAGAACCGUAACACAGGUGCUGCAUGGCUGUCGUCAGCUCGUGUCGUGAGAUGUUGGGUUAAGUCCCGCAACGAGCGCAACCCUUGUCAUUAGUUGCUACAUUUAGUUGGGCACUCUAAUGAGACUGCCGGUGACAAACCGGAGGAAGGUGGGGAUGACGUCAAGUCCUCAUGGCCCUUAUAGGUGGGGCUACACACGUCAUACAAUGGAUGGUACAAAGGGUCGCCAACCCGCGAGGGGGAGCCAAUCCCAUAAAGCCAUUCGUAGUCCGGAUCGCAGUCUGCAACUCGACUGCGUGAAGUCGGAAUCGCUAGUAAUCGUGGAUCAGAAUGUCACGGUGAAUACGUUCCCGGGUCUUGUACACACCGCCCGUCACACCAUGGGAGCGGGUUCUGCCAGAAGUAGUUAGCCUAACCGCAAGGAGGGCGAUUACCACGGCAGGGUUCGUGACUGGGGUGAAGUCGUAACAAGGUAACC